UACGAAGGGGGCUAGCGUUGUUCGGAAUCACUGGGCGUAAAGCGCACGCAGGCGGAUUGAUAAGUCAGGGGUGAAAUCCCGGAGCUCAACUUCGGAAUUGCCUUUGAUACUGUCUGUCUUGAGUCCGGGAGAGGUGAGUGGAAUUCCUAGUGUAGAGGUGAAAUUCGUAGAUAUGAGGAAGAACACCAGUGGCGAAGGCGGCUCACUGGCCCGGUACUGACGCUCAUGUGCGAAAGCGUGGGGAGCAAACAGG
This 253-nucleotide ribosomal RNA is filed under the name uncultured bacterium. Its description in RNAcentral is "partial 16S ribosomal RNA". It matches the Rfam family "Bacterial small subunit ribosomal RNA", at positions 524 to 776 of the family's 1533-position model. The record is from RNAcentral.